This 802-nucleotide ribosomal RNA is filed under the name Streptomyces sp. RNAcentral's name for it is "bacterial SSU rRNA". It matches the Rfam family "Bacterial small subunit ribosomal RNA", at positions 102 to 917 of the family's 1533-position model. The record is from RNAcentral. Lineage: Bacteria; Bacillati; Actinomycetota; Actinomycetes; Kitasatosporales; Streptomycetaceae.
ACGGGUGAGUAACACGUGGGCAAUCUGCCCUUCACUCUGGGACAAGCCCUGGAAACGGGGUCUAAUACCGGAUAACACUCUGUCCCGCAUGGGACGGGGUUAAAAGCUCCGGCGGUGAAGGAUGAGCCCGCGGCCUAUCAGCUUGUUGGUGGGGUGAUGGCCUACCAAGGCGACGACGGGUAGCCGGCCUGAGAGGGCGACCGGCCACACUGGGACUGAGACACGGCCCAGACUCCUACGGGAGGCAGCAGUGGGGAAUAUUGCACAAUGGGCGAAAGCCUGAUGCAGCGACGCCGCGUGAGGGAUGACGGCCUUCGGGUUGUAAACCUCUUUCAGCAGGGAAGAAGCGAAAGUGACGGUACCUGCAGAAGAAGCGCCGGCUAACUACGUGCCAGCAGCCGCGGUAAUACGUAGGGCGCAAGCGUUGUCCGGAAUUAUUGGGCGUAAAGAGCUCGUAGGCGGCUUGUCACGUCGGAUGUGAAAGCCCGGGGCUUAACCCCGGGUCUGCAUUCGAUACGGGCUAGCUAGAGUGUGGUAGGGGAGAUCGGAAUUCCUGGUGUAGCGGUGAAAUGCGCAGAUAUCAGGAGGAACACCGGUGGCGAAGGCGGAUCUCUGGGCCAUUACUGACGCUGAGGAGCGAAAGCGUGGGGAGCGAACAGGAUUAGAUACCCUGGUAGUCCACGCCGUAAACGUUGGGAACUAGGUGUUGGCGACAUUCCACGUCGUCGGUGCCGCAGCUAACGCAUUAAGUUCCCCGCCUGGGGAGUACGGCCGCAAGGCUAAAACUCAAGGAAUUGACGGG